This 344-nucleotide ribosomal RNA is filed under the name Ascaphus truei (coastal tailed frog). Its description in RNAcentral is "partial 12S ribosomal RNA". It matches the Rfam family "Bacterial small subunit ribosomal RNA", at positions 869 to 1384 of the family's 1533-position model. The record is from RNAcentral. Lineage: Eukaryota; Metazoa; Chordata; Amphibia; Anura; Ascaphidae.
CCGCCAGGGAACUACGAGCCUCAGCUUAAAACCCAAAAGACUUGGCGGUGCCCCACACCCCCCUAGAGGAGCCUGUUCUAUAAUCGAUUAUCCCCGCUGAACCUCACCAUUUCUUGCCCUUCCGCCUAUAUACCACCGUCGCCAGCCCACCCUAUGAAGGAACACAGUAGGCAUAAUGGUCUUCACCAAAACGUCAGGUCAAGGUGUAGCAUAUGAAAUGGCAAGAAAUGGGCUACAUUUUCUACUAUAGAAAACACGAAAGAUUUCAGUGAAACCUAAUCAGAAGGCGGAUUUAGCAGUAAAAAGAAAUUAGAGUAUUCUUUUUAAUUUGGCCCUAAGCGCGC